This 632-nucleotide ribosomal RNA is filed under the name uncultured Acinetobacter sp. RNAcentral's name for it is "bacterial SSU rRNA". It matches the Rfam family "Bacterial small subunit ribosomal RNA", at positions 31 to 658 of the family's 1533-position model. Lineage: Bacteria; Pseudomonadati; Pseudomonadota; Gammaproteobacteria; Moraxellales; Moraxellaceae. The record is from RNAcentral.
AUACGCUGGCGGCAGGCUUACACCUGCAGUCAGAGCGGAGCGAAGUGUGCUUGCACCUUAGCUUAGCGGCGGACGGGUGAGUAAUGCUUAGGAAUCUGCCUAUUAGUGGGGGACAACGUUUCGAAAGGAACGCUAAUACCGCAUACGUCCUACGGGAGAAAGCAGGGAUCUUCGGACCUUGUUGCUAAUAGAUGAGCCUAAGUCGGAUUAGCUAGUUGGUGGGGUAAAGGCCUACCAAGGCGACGAUCUGUAGCGGGUCUGAGAGGAUGAUCCGCACACUGGGACUGAGACACGGCCCAGACUCCUACGGGAGGCAGCAGUGGGGAAUAUUGGACAAUGGGCGAAAGCCUGAUCCAGCCAUGCCGCGUGUGUGAAGAAGGCCUUUUGGUUGUAAAGCACUUUAAGCGAGGAGGAGGAGCUUCAGGUUAAUACCCUGGAUGCUUGGACGUUACUCGCAGAAUAAGCACCGGCUAACUCUGUGCCAGCAGCCGCGGUAAUACAGAGGGUGCAAGCGUUAAUCGGAUUUACUGGGCGUAAAGCGUGCGUAGGCGGCUAAUUAAGUCAAAUGUGAAAUCCCCGAGCUUAACUUGGGAAUUGCAUUCGAUACUGGUUAGCUAGAGUAUGGGAGACGG